CCUACGGGAGGCUGCAGUCGAGAAUCAUUCACAAUGGGGGAAACCCUGAUGGUGCGACGCCGCGUGGGGGAAUGAAGGUCUUCGGAUUGUAAACCCCUGUCAUGUGGGAGCAAAUUAAAAAGAUAGUACCACACGAGGAAGAGACGGCUAACUCUGUGCCAGCAGCCGCGGUAAUACAGAGGUCUCAAGCGUUGUUCGGAAGCACUGGGCGUAAAGGGUGCGUAGGCGGUUUCGUAAGUCGUGUGUGAAAGGUGCGGGCUCAACCCGCGGACGGCACAUGAUACUGGGAGACUAGAGUAAAGGAGGGGGAGGCGGAAUGCUCGGUGUAGCAGUGAAAUGCGUAGAGAUCG
RNAcentral lists this ribosomal RNA (350 nucleotides) under uncultured bacterium. Its description in RNAcentral is "partial 16S ribosomal RNA". It matches the Rfam family "Bacterial small subunit ribosomal RNA", at positions 338 to 699 of the family's 1533-position model. The record is from RNAcentral.